UACAGAGGUGGCAAGCGUUGUUCGGAAUUACUGGGCGUAAAGGGCGCGUAGGCGGCCUUGUAAGUCCCGUGUGAAAUCCCCUGGCUCAACUAGGGAAUUGCACGGGAGACUGCUUGGCUUGAGUUCGGGAGAGGGAAGCGGAAUUCCGGGUGUAGCGGUGAAAUGCGUAGAUAUCCGGAGGAACACCGGUGGCGAAGGCGGCUUCCUGGACCGACACUGACGCUGAGGCGCGAAAGCUAGGGGAGCAAACGGG
This 253-nucleotide ribosomal RNA is filed under the name uncultured bacterium. RNAcentral describes it as "partial 16S ribosomal RNA". It matches the Rfam family "Bacterial small subunit ribosomal RNA", at positions 524 to 776 of the family's 1533-position model. The record is from RNAcentral.